This is a long non-coding RNA of Larimichthys crocea (large yellow croaker), 300 nucleotides long. RefSeq lists it as uncharacterized. The record is from RefSeq and is a predicted model, not a curated record. The transcript is spliced from 2 exons. Lineage: Eukaryota; Metazoa; Chordata; Actinopteri; Sciaenidae.
CGAAGUCCAGAGCCACAUAGCACAGCUUCUCCUUGAUGUCGCGCACGAUCUCACGCUCGGCUGUGGGGAGACAAGUUGAUAAGAUUGUUAUUAAGAGUGACAAACAGCCGAGACCAAAGACACAAUGUGCUUUGUUAUUGGAGCAGGUCAGGUUCCUCACCGGUGGUCACGAAGGAGUAGCCACGCUCAGUCAGGAUCUUCAUCAGGUAGUCGGUCAGAUCGCGACCAGCCAGGUCCAGACGCAUGAUGGCGUGGGGCAGGGCGUAACCCUCAUAGACUGGGACGUUGUGGGUCACACCA